CGCGUAGGCGGGUCGGCAAGUCUGUGGUGAAAUCCCCCGGCUUAACCGGGGAAUUGCCAUGGAUACUGCCAGUCUCGAGGAGGGUAGGGGCACCUGGAACUAGCGGUGGAGCGGUGAAAUGCGUUGAUAUCGCUAGGAACUCCGGUGGCGAAGGCGAGGUGCUGGACCCUUUCUGACGCUGAGGCGCGAAAGCCAGGGGAGCAAACG
RNAcentral lists this ribosomal RNA (207 nucleotides) under uncultured bacterium. Its description in RNAcentral is "partial 16S ribosomal RNA". It matches the Rfam family "Bacterial small subunit ribosomal RNA", at positions 568 to 774 of the family's 1533-position model. The record is from RNAcentral.